RNAcentral lists this ribosomal RNA (452 nucleotides) under uncultured bacterium. Its description in RNAcentral is "bacterial SSU rRNA". It matches the Rfam family "Bacterial small subunit ribosomal RNA", at positions 355 to 825 of the family's 1533-position model. The record is from RNAcentral.
UCGAGAAUCUUCCGCAAUGGACGAAAGUCUGACGGAGCGACGCCGCGUGAUGGAUGAAGUCCCUCUGGGACGUAAACAUCUUUUAUGAGGGAGAAAGUUUAUUGAUAGUACCUCACGAAUAAGGGGUUGCUAAACUCGUGCCAGCAGCAGCGGUAAUACGAGCGCCCCGAGCGUUAUCCGGAAUCAUUGGGCGUAAAGGGUGUGUAGGUGGCAUUGUUAGUCACACGUUAAACCCUGGGGCUUAACCCCAGAUCUGCGUGUGAUACGGCAAAGCUAGAGGAUGGCAGGGAUGUAUGGAACUCAUGGAGUAGGGGUGAAAUCCGUUGAUAUCAUGGGGAACACCGAAAGCGAAGGCAGUACAUUGGGCCACUCCUGACACUGAAACACGAAAGCGUGGGUAGCGAAUGGGAUUAGAUACCCGCGUAGUCCCUGAGCGGGCUGGCAAGGCGCAU